GUGUCAGCCGCCGCGGUAACACGUAGGAUCCGAGCGUUAUCCGAAUUUACUGGGCGUAAAGCGCGUGUAGGCGGUCUGGUAAGUUGGACGUGAAAGCUCCUGGCUCAACUGGGAGAGGUCGUUCAAGACUGCCGGGCUAGAGGGCGGUAGAGGGAGGUGGAAUUCCCGGUGUAGUGGUGAAAUGCGUAGAUAUCGGGAGGAACACCAGUGGCGAAAGCGGCCUCCUGGACCGUACCUGACGCUCAGACGCGAAAGCUAGGGGAGCGAACGGGAUUAGAUACCCGCGUAGUCC
This 292-nucleotide ribosomal RNA is filed under the name uncultured bacterium. Its description in RNAcentral is "partial 16S ribosomal RNA". It matches the Rfam family "Bacterial small subunit ribosomal RNA", at positions 505 to 796 of the family's 1533-position model. The record is from RNAcentral.